GGCGGUAACACGUAGGGGGCGAGCGUUGUCCGGAUUUAUUGGGCGUAAAGAGCUCGUAGGCGGUUAGGAAAGUCGGGUGUGAAAGCUCGAGGCUCAACCUCGAGACGCCACUCGAUACUUCCUUGACUGGAGUCCGGUAGAGGAGUGCGGAAUUCCUGGUGUAGCGGUGAAAUGCGCAGAUAUCAGGAGGAACACCAACGGCGAAGGCAGCACUCUGGGCCGGUACUGACGCUGAGGAGCGAAAGCGUGGCGAGCAAACAGG
This 262-nucleotide ribosomal RNA is filed under the name uncultured bacterium. Its description in RNAcentral is "partial 16S ribosomal RNA". It matches the Rfam family "Bacterial small subunit ribosomal RNA", at positions 516 to 776 of the family's 1533-position model. The record is from RNAcentral.